This 371-nucleotide ribosomal RNA is filed under the name uncultured organism. Its description in RNAcentral is "bacterial SSU rRNA". It matches the Rfam family "Bacterial small subunit ribosomal RNA", at positions 526 to 896 of the family's 1533-position model. The record is from RNAcentral.
CAGAGGGUGCGAGCGUUAAUCGGAAUUACUGGGCGUAAAGGGCGCGUAGGCGGCUAGAUAAGUCAGAUGUGAAAUCCCUGGGCUUAACCUGGGAAUGUCAUUUGAAACUGUGUGGCUAGAGUAGAGUAGAGGGAAGUGGAAUUUCCGGUGUAGCGGUGAAAUGCGUAGAUAUCGGAAAGAACAUCAGUGGCGAAGGCGGCUUUCUGGACUUAUACUGACGCUGAGGCGCGAAAGCAUGGGUAGCAAACAGGAUUAGAUACCCUGGUAGUCCAUGCUGUAAACGAUGAUAACUAGAUGCUGGCAGGUCAAACCUGUGAGUAUCGAAGCAAACGCGGUAAGUUAUCCGCCUGGGGAGUACGGCCGCAAGGCUA